This 379-nucleotide ribosomal RNA is filed under the name Escherichia coli. Its description in RNAcentral is "bacterial SSU rRNA". It matches the Rfam family "Bacterial small subunit ribosomal RNA", at positions 1 to 374 of the family's 1533-position model. The record is from RNAcentral. Lineage: Bacteria; Pseudomonadati; Pseudomonadota; Gammaproteobacteria; Enterobacterales; Enterobacteriaceae.
UUAAAUUGAAGAGUUUGAUCAUGGCUCAGAUUGAACGCUGGCGGCAGGCCUAACACAUGCAAGUCGAACGGUAACAGGAAACAGCUUGCUGUUUCGCUGACGAGUGGCGGACGGGUGAGUAAUGUCUGGGAAACUGCCUGAUGGAGGGGGAUAACUACUGGAAACGGUAGCUAAUACCGCAUAAUGUCGCAAGACCAAAGAGGGGGACCUUAGGGCCUCUUGCCAUCGGAUGUGCCCAGAUGGGAUUAGCUGGUAGGUGGGGUAACGGCUCACCUAGGCGACGAUCCCUAGCUGGUCUGAGAGGAUGACCAGCCACACUGGAACUGAGACACGGUCCAGACUCCUACGGGAGGCAGCAGUGGGGAAUAUUGCACAAUGG